RNAcentral lists this ribosomal RNA (406 nucleotides) under uncultured bacterium. Its description in RNAcentral is "partial 16S ribosomal RNA". It matches the Rfam family "Bacterial small subunit ribosomal RNA", at positions 30 to 526 of the family's 1533-position model. The record is from RNAcentral.
AUUGAACGCUGGCGGCAUGCUUUACACAUGCAAGUCGAACGAGUGGCGAACGGGUGAGUAAUAUAUAGGAACGUACAGAGUAAUGGGGGAUAACCAAACGAAAGAUUGGCUAAUACCGCAUGUUAUUCGAGCGGCCGCGAACUGAUUAGCUAGGUGGUGGGGUAAAGGCCUAACAAGGCGACGAUCAGUAGCGGGUCUGGGAGGACGAUCCGCCACACUGGGACUGAGACACGGCCCAGACUCCUACGGGAGGCAGCAGUGGGGAAUUUUGGACAAUGGGGGCAACCCUGAUCCAGCCAUGCCGCGUGUAUGAAGAAGGCCUUCGGGUUGUAAAGUACUUUUGUUAGGGAAGCGGUACCUAAAGAAUAAGCACCGGCUAACUCCGUGCCAGCAGCCGCGGUAAUUC